Molecule: ribosomal RNA, 667 nt
Filed under: alpha proteobacterium IMCC10408
Lineage: Bacteria; Pseudomonadati; Pseudomonadota; Alphaproteobacteria
Description: bacterial SSU rRNA
Rfam family: Bacterial small subunit ribosomal RNA
Source: RNAcentral
AGAGUUUGAUUAUGGCUCAGAACGUACGCUGGCGGCACGCCUAACACAUGCAAGUCGAACGAAGUAGCAAUACUUAGUGGCAGACGGGUGAGUAACAUGUAGGUAUCUGCCCUUUGGCCUGGAAUAACACGAGGAAACUUGUGCUAAUACCGGAUAAGUCUUUACGGAGAAAGCUUUAUGCACCAUUGGAUGAGCCUGCACUUGAUUAGUUUGUUGGUGGGGUAAUGGCCUACCAAGACUGUGAUCAAUAGCUGAUUUGAGAGGAUGAUCAGCCACAUUGGGACUGAGACACGGCCCAAACUCCUACGGGAGGCAGCAGUGGGGAAUCUUGCACAAUGGAGGAAACUCUGAUGCAGCGAUGCCGCGUGAGUGAAGAAGGCCCUUGGGUUGUAAAGCUCUUUCGUCGGGGAAGAAAAUGACUGUACCCGAAUAAGAAGGUCCGGCUAACUUCGUGCCAGCAGCCGCGGUAAUACGAAGGGACCUAGCGUAGUUCGGAAUUACUGGGCUUAAAGAGUUCGUAGGUGGUUGAAAAAGUUAGUGGUGAAAUCCCAGAGCUUAACUCUGGAACUGCCAUUAAAACUUUUCAGCUAGAGUAUGAUAGAGGAAAGCAGAAUUUCUAGUGUAGAGGUGAAAUUCGUAGAUAUUAGAAAGAAUAUCAAUUGCGAAG